This 1344-nucleotide long non-coding RNA is filed under the name Mus caroli (Ryukyu mouse). RNAcentral's name for it is "lncRNA (MGP_CAROLIEiJ_G0005352.1)". Lineage: Eukaryota; Metazoa; Chordata; Mammalia; Rodentia; Muridae. The record is from RNAcentral.
GACCUGUGUCUGCCCAGACUUACCUCAGGGAUGGAGACCUGAGAGUUCUAAGCUGAAGGGAAACUGAGACUGAGAGAUGUCUGCUGCAAACACGUCCCCACCCACUAUGACCUGAGUGUGCCCCCAGGGCUCACUCUCCCCUGGCCUGCAGUGCUUUUUCUCUGGGUUUGCUGGAGAAUAGAGAUGGGAAAAGCUACAGUCUCUGAACCCAACUGAAACAGGCUGCCCUGCACUCUGGACAGACCGAUCCCUGGCAGUGGCAGGUGUGCGGAUCUGCAAGUGUGUGCAUGUACCUGAGCGUCCCACGGAGUGUGGGCUUGAGAGAAGGCACCCACCUUCUGUCAGCUAUCAGCUGACUUCACUUAAACAGCAAGGGAACAGAAGAGAGGAGAGGAAUGCUGGCUGGGACAUUCACAGACACCUUCCGAUCUGACAGGGGCAGGAUGUUUGGUUUAAUUCUGAAGACUGGAGAGGGUAUAAACAGGAGAGCCGGUGGCAGCUGCCGCUCCCCCUGCUGCUGCUGCUGCUGCUGCUUUUGCUAUUGCUGGAUUUCUGGUUGGAGAUAUCCUGAUGACAGAGAUUGGACUUGUCACCAAGGAACCGGACACCCCUAAUGAGCAGGACGUAGUCUAAAGAGACCCCAGCUCAGCAUGAAACUGGACCAACUCCUGGCGGACUACCCAGCACUGAGUCACAGCAGCACCGUGCUGACCCAAGGGAGCUACAGAGUUCAACUACUGAAAAUACAAGCCAGUCCCUAGAGCCACCAGGUUCGGACUUCAAUGUAUACUUUGUGGGUUCAGUUCAACUCCACCACGCUUGUACAUGUAUGACUGGCUUCUGUCCCUGGACUAUCCCCCUUCUCCUUGAGUCAGGACUCUCUAGUAUGGAUUUACUUCACUGAAGCAGACACACGAGAGGAUGUUUUGCUGAGAACAGACACGUGGCGUUUUUCCGGAAGCUGCCUUGUGAGAGGGCAUGUGAUGUUUUGCUGAAACAGACACUGGAGAGGGAACAUGGGGUUUAAAAUGAAUAAAGAAGUACCAAAGAGCUUUGGGUGGUAAUCUGGCUGCUUUGCGCCACUUCUGGGGACUUACGGAGAUAUGGCAGAGCCUUACAGUUUCUUCUGGAUCAAACCACUGCUACUGGAUCCUGUUGGGUGUUUUCCGAUUGGGUUGGACGCCACUAUUGAUUCAUGGUUGAUGUUUUGGGCUGAACUGCUGAUAUCCUGACCACAAAAUUGAAAUCCCUCUUGUCCUAUAAACUGUCUUCUUCCUCUACCUCUGGUCAGUGUGAUAGAAGGGAAGUGAAGGUGUUUAAGAACCCUAAGUAAAGUAGAUUUUG